This 450-nucleotide ribosomal RNA is filed under the name uncultured bacterium. RNAcentral's name for it is "bacterial SSU rRNA". It matches the Rfam family "Bacterial small subunit ribosomal RNA", at positions 202 to 645 of the family's 1533-position model. The record is from RNAcentral.
UCGCAAGACCUUGCGCUAAAGGAGCGGCCGAUGUCUGAUUAGCUAGUUGGUGGGGUAAAAGCCUACCAAGGCGACGAUCAGUAGUUGGUCUGAGAGGACGACCAACCACACUGGGACUGAGACACGGCCCAGACUCCUACGGGAGGCAGCAGUGGGGAAUUUUGGACAAUGGGCGAAAGCCUGAUCCAGCCAUGCCGCGUGAGUGAAGAAGGCCUUCGGGUUGUAAAGCUCUUUCAGUCGGAAAGAAGCGAUUGUGAUUAAUACUCACAAUUAAUGACGGUACCGACAGAAGAAGCACCGGCUAACUACGUGCCAGCAGCCGCGGUAAUACGUAGGGUGCGAGCGUUAAUCGGAAUUACUGGGCGUAAAGGGUGCGCAGGCGGUCUUGUAAGUCAGAUGUGAAAUCCCCGGGCUUAACCUGGGAAUUGCGUUUGAAACUACAAAGCUAGA